RNAcentral lists this ribosomal RNA (666 nucleotides) under Microbacterium paraoxydans. Its description in RNAcentral is "bacterial SSU rRNA". It matches the Rfam family "Bacterial small subunit ribosomal RNA", at positions 824 to 1486 of the family's 1533-position model. Lineage: Bacteria; Bacillati; Actinomycetota; Actinomycetes; Micrococcales; Microbacteriaceae. The record is from RNAcentral.
GGGGUCCAUUCCACGGAUUCCGUGACGCAGCUAACGCAUUAAGUUCCCCGCCUGGGGAGUACGGCCGCAAGGCUAAAACUCAAAGGAAUUGACGGGGACCCGCACAAGCGGCGGAGCAUGCGGAUUAAUUCGAUGCAACGCGAAGAACCUUACCAAGGCUUGACAUAUACGAGAACGGGCCAGAAAUGGUCAACUCUUUGGACACUCGUAAACAGGUGGUGCAUGGUUGUCGUCAGCUCGUGUCGUGAGAUGUUGGGUUAAGUCCCGCAACGAGCGCAACCCUCGUUCUAUGUUGCCAGCACGUAAUGGUGGGAACUCAUGGGAUACUGCCGGGGUCAACUCGGAGGAAGGUGGGGAUGACGUCAAAUCAUCAUGCCCCUUAUGUCUUGGGCUUCACGCAUGCUACAAUGGCCGGUACAAAGGGCUGCAAUACCGUGAGGUGGAGCGAAUCCCAAAAAGCCGGUCCCAGUUCGGAUUGAGGUCUGCAACUCGACCUCAUGAAGUCGGAGUCGCUAGUAAUCGCAGAUCAGCAACGCUGCGGUGAAUACGUUCCCGGGUCUUGUACACACCGCCCGUCAAGUCAUGAAAGUCGGUAACACCUGAAGCCGGUGGCCUAACCCUUGUGGAGGGAGCUGUCGAAGGUGGGAUCGGUAAUUAGGACUAAAU